CCUACGGGGGGCUGCAGUGAGGAAUAUUGGUCAAUGGACGAAAGUCUGAACCAGCCAUGCCGCGUGCAGGAAGACGGCUCUAUGAGUUGUAAACUGCUUUUGUACGAGGGUAAACGCAGAUACGCGUAUCUGUAUGCAAGUAUCGUACGAAUAAGGAUCGGCUAACUCCGUGCCAGCAGCCGCGGUAAUACGGAGGAUUCAAGCGUUAUCCGGAUUUAUUGGGUUUAAAGGGUGCGUAGGCGGUCGGAUAAGUUAGAGGUGAAAGCCCGAGGCUCAACUUCGGAAGUGCCGCUGAUACUGGUCGGCUAGAGAGUAGGGGCGGGAGGCGGAAUGUAUGGUGUAGCGGUGAAAUGCGUAGAGAUC
RNAcentral lists this ribosomal RNA (363 nucleotides) under uncultured bacterium. Its description in RNAcentral is "partial 16S ribosomal RNA". It matches the Rfam family "Bacterial small subunit ribosomal RNA", at positions 338 to 698 of the family's 1533-position model. The record is from RNAcentral.